CACACCGUCCCGUCACACCAUGGGAGUUGAUUGCACCAGAAGUAGGUAGCCUAACCGCAAGGAGGGCGCUUACCACGGUGUGGUCAAUGACUGGGGUG
RNAcentral lists this ribosomal RNA (98 nucleotides) under uncultured bacterium. RNAcentral describes it as "partial 16S ribosomal RNA". It matches the Rfam family "Bacterial small subunit ribosomal RNA", at positions 1386 to 1482 of the family's 1533-position model. The record is from RNAcentral.